Molecule: ribosomal RNA, 445 nt
Filed under: uncultured bacterium
Lineage: Bacteria
Description: partial 16S ribosomal RNA
Rfam family: Bacterial small subunit ribosomal RNA
Source: RNAcentral
GCGAGGAAUAUUGCGCAAUGGAGGCAACUCUGACGCAGCCAUGCCGCGUGCAGGAAGAAGGCGCUACGCGUUGUAAACUGCUUUUAACCGGGAAGAAACCCCAGGACGUGUCCUGGGUUGACGGUACCGGAGGAAUAAGCACCGGCUAACUUCGUGCCAGCAGCCGCGGUAAUACGAAGGGUGCACGCGUUAUCCGGAUGCAUUGGGUUUAAAGGGUGCGUAGGCGGAGCGUUCAGUCAGUGGUGAAAACGUGCAGCUUAACUGUAGACUUGCCAUUGAUACUGGCGCUCUUGAGUGCGCUUGAAGUGGGCAGACUGUGCCGUGUAGCGGUGAAAUGCUUAGAUAUGGCACAGAACAGCAAUUGCGAAGGCAGCUCACUAAGGCGAUACUGACGCGGAGGCACGAAAGCGUGGGGAUCGAACAGGAUUAGAUACCCGUGUAGUCC